AAGACAUGGAGGAAUGUGCCAUGGAGAUUUUUCCCUCCGCUUCCGUAGCGCCGCUUUCUACAAGCCCCGUCUGUUAACUCUUUACUCCAAAAAUCAGUCAAAUAAGUCUGUCGCCUUCGAAAUCAGGACAGAUGUCCUGGAAAAAGACUUUUUCCAUCCGGGUCUUUUAGAAGGGUCGGAAAGACGAGAUCGUGAUCCGAAAACCCGCCGAGCGUUUGAUGUCUUGCACUCUCCUGUCAAGCGGAGUGGAGUGGUCAUCUUGAACUUUUCCUCUCGUGCGGGCGUCCAGUCGGGCGAGGCAGUCCUGGUGCCCUCCAUAGUGCAGUAAAGUGGGUGAGGGGCUACAGUCUGUUGAGACUCGUGCCGCAGUUUUCUUUCCAUUCAGUAAAUAGGGAAAUAUGGC
Pomacea canaliculata is the source of this 403-nucleotide long non-coding RNA. RefSeq lists it as uncharacterized. The record is from RefSeq and is a predicted model, not a curated record. Lineage: Eukaryota; Metazoa; Mollusca; Gastropoda; Architaenioglossa; Ampullariidae. The transcript is spliced from 2 exons.